Molecule: ribosomal RNA, 474 nt
Filed under: Triticum aestivum (bread wheat)
Lineage: Eukaryota; Viridiplantae; Streptophyta; Magnoliopsida; Poales; Poaceae
Description: partial small subunit ribosomal RNA
Source: RNAcentral
AUGGCGGAGCUUACGUCGGGCGCCGUGCGCUCGCUGCUGGGCGUCAUCCGCAACGAGGCCCUGCUGCUGGGCCGCGUCCAGCAUGACGUGCAGUUCAUCCAGGAAGAGAUGGAGAGCAUGCAGAGCUUCUUGACUCACCUGUCAAAGAAGGCGCCCGGCGGUGGUGACCAGGACGAGCAGAUGCGCACGUGGAUGAACCAGGUCCGGCUGCUCGCCCAGGACAGCAACAACUGCAUCGACAUGUACCUGUACCGCGGCAACCCCGACCUCCAUCUUGCCAGCGGCGGCCUCCGGCGCUACAUCGCGUGGCUUCCCUGGUUUGUGCACAAGAUGGUGGCGCAGCGUCGCGCGGCCAUCCAGCUGGGUGUGCUCAGGGAAAGGGCGCAUGACAUUGGCGAGCGGCGAGUCAGCUACACCUUCUACCUACACCAUUCAGCUUGCAUCAAGAUCCAUGCUAUUGCUAUCCUUGUAUAG